Molecule: ribosomal RNA, 25 nt
Filed under: Antipathozoanthus obscurus
Lineage: Eukaryota; Metazoa; Cnidaria; Anthozoa; Zoantharia; Parazoanthidae
Description: partial 18S ribosomal RNA
Source: RNAcentral
CAUUACCGUUGCAUACAAAAACAAC